GAUGAACGCUGGCGGCGUGCUUAACACAUGCAAGUCGAACGAAGCAUUUAGGACAGAUUACUUCGGUUUGAAGUUCUUUAUGACUGAGUGGCGGACGGGUGAGUAACGCGUGGGUAACCUGCCUUGUACUGGGGGAUAGCAGCUGGAAACGGCUGGUAAUACCGCAUAAGCGCACUAUGUUGCAUGACAUGGUGUGAAAAACUCCGGUGGUAUAAGAUGGACCCGCGUCUGAUUAGCUAGUUGGUGAGAUAACAGCCCACCAAGGCGACGAUCAGUAGCCGACCUGAGAGGGUGACCGGCCACAUUGGGACUGAGACACGGCCCAGACUCCUACGGGAGGCAGCAGUGGGGAAUAUUGCACAAUGGAGGAAACUCUGAUGCAGCAACGCCGCGUGAGUGAAGAAGUAAUUCGUUAUGUAAAGCUCUAUCAGCAGGGAAGAUAGUGACGGUACCUGACUAAGAAGCUCCGGCUAAAUACGUG
RNAcentral lists this ribosomal RNA (481 nucleotides) under uncultured bacterium. RNAcentral describes it as "partial 16S ribosomal RNA". It matches the Rfam family "Bacterial small subunit ribosomal RNA", at positions 28 to 507 of the family's 1533-position model. The record is from RNAcentral.